CACGUAGGGCGCAAGCGUUGUCCGGAAUUAUUGGGCGUAAAGAGCUCGUAGGCGGUGUGUCACGUCGUUCGUGAAAACCUGCAGCUUAACUGUGGGCGUGCGGUCGAUACGGGCAUCACUGGAGUUCGGCAGGGGAGACUGGAAUUCCUGGUGUAGCGGUGAAAUGCGCAGAUAUCAGGAGGAACACCGGUGGCGAAGGCGGGUCUCUGGGCCGAUACUGACACUGAGGAGCGAAAGCGUGGGGAGCGAACAGG
Molecule: ribosomal RNA, 254 nt
Filed under: uncultured bacterium
Lineage: Bacteria
Description: partial 16S ribosomal RNA
Rfam family: Bacterial small subunit ribosomal RNA
Source: RNAcentral